Molecule: transfer RNA, 73 nt
Filed under: Shigella sonnei
Lineage: Bacteria; Pseudomonadati; Pseudomonadota; Gammaproteobacteria; Enterobacterales; Enterobacteriaceae
Description: tRNA-Val
Rfam family: tRNA
About the family: Transfer RNA (tRNA) molecules are approximately 80 nucleotides in length. Their secondary structure includes four short double-helical elements and three loops (D, anti-codon, and T loops). Further hydrogen bonds mediate the characteristic L-shaped molecular structure. tRNAs have two regions of fundamental functional importance: the anti-codon, which is responsible for specific mRNA codon recognition, and the 3' end, to which the tRNAs corresponding amino acid is attached (by aminoacyl-tRNA synthetases). tRNAs cope with the degeneracy of the genetic code in two manners: having more than one tRNA (with a specific anti-codon) for a particular amino acid; and 'wobble' base-pairing, i.e. permitting non-standard base-pairing at the 3rd anti-codon position.
Source: RNAcentral
GGGUGAUUAGCUCAGCUGGGAGAGCACCUCCCUUACAAGGAGGGGGUCGGCGGUUCGAUCCCGUCAUCACACC